Molecule: ribosomal RNA, 753 nt
Filed under: uncultured Halomonas sp.
Lineage: Bacteria; Pseudomonadati; Pseudomonadota; Gammaproteobacteria; Oceanospirillales; Halomonadaceae
Description: bacterial SSU rRNA
Rfam family: Bacterial small subunit ribosomal RNA
Source: RNAcentral
GAAGAGUUUGAUCAUGGCUCAGAUUGAACGCUGGCGGCAGGCCUAACACAUGCAAGUCGAGCGGAAACGAUCCUAGCUUGCUAGGAGGCGUCGAGCGGCGGACGGGUGAGUAAUGCAUAGGAAUCUGCCCGGUAGUGGGGGAUAACUUGAGGAAACUCAAGCUAAUACCGCAUACGCCCUACGGGGGAAAGCAGGGGCUCUUCGGACCUUGCGCUAUCGGAUGAGCUUAUGUCGGAUUAGCUGGUUGGUGAGGUAACGGCUCACCAAGGCGACGAUCCGUAGCUGGUCUGAGAGGAUGAUCAGCCACAUCGGGACUGAGACACGGCCCGAACUCCUACGGGAGGCAGCAGUGGGGAAUAUUGGACAAUGGGGGCAACCCUGAUCCAGCCAUGCCGCGUGUGUGAAGAAGGCCCUCGGGUUGUAAAGCACUUUCAGCGAGGAAGAAUGCUUGUCGGUUAAUACCCGGCAAGGGAGACAUCACUCGCAGAAGAAGCACCGGCUAACUCCGUGCCAGCAGCCGCGGUAAUACGGAGGGUGCGAGCGUUAAUCGGAAUUACUGGGCGUAAAGCGUGCGUAGGCGGCUUGAUAAGCCGGUUGUGAAAGCCCCGGGCUCAACCUGGGAACGGCAUCCGGAACUGUUAGGCUAGAGUGCAGGAGAGGAAGGUAGAAUUCCCGGUGUAGCGGUGAAAUGCGUAGAGAUCGGGAGGAAUACCAGUGGCGAAGGCGGCCUUCUGGACUGACACUGACGCUGAG